This is a long non-coding RNA of Oryctolagus cuniculus (rabbit), 1849 nucleotides long. Lineage: Eukaryota; Metazoa; Chordata; Mammalia; Lagomorpha; Leporidae. The record is from Ensembl.
CUCUCAUGGGGGUGAAUAUAGAAAGAGGUAAACAGAAGAAGGAGCUUCCACAUACAAAAAGAAGAAUGGAAGUGUUCCUCUCCUAAAUAAGUCAAUAAAGUAUUCUUUAUUUACCAAUGAGAUUUCCUUUCUGUAUUUUCUUUUAUCCUCAUAACAUUAGUAUGAUAAUUGGUGAAAAGAUAUUAUCCCUACUUCCAAAUGACAAAAUUCUGGAAGAUAUAGCCAAAUACCCUAAUUCAAUGCAUAUAAGCCUGACUAUAUAUACCAGCAUAUCCUUUUUACCCUUAGCUCCUGAGUCUGAACUGAUUUAACUCACAAAUGCUAUGCACACAAACUGAUGGUGUCAUUGAGCCGUGCGCGGCCACCGCGUCCCCUCCCAGCAGUCCUGGGUGGGACAGGAUUCCCACAGUGCCGUGUCUGGGGACCCCCGCAGGCGUGGCCCGGAUCCGUGCGUCAGAGGGCGUCCGAGGAGUGCGGGGGCCGUGCGUGCGUGGCAGCGCCUGGGCUGGGCUGGAGGCCCCGGAGUUGCAGAACCAUCACCCAGAAAAGGAGUCCCCUCUCCUAGUCCCUCCCGCCUCCAUGGAGCCCCCUGCCCCUGCCUGUCCUGUGGGUGGAGCCCCAGGCCAAGUCUCCGCGCGCCCGUGGAGUGGUGAGAAAUUUGGCGUCCGGGGCCCCUUGCACAGUUCCCGCGGGGACGGACGGCCCGGUUUCCAGAGGCCGAAGCAUCCACCGUCAGGCCUCGGCAGGAACGUCUGGUCAAGGCUGGCGGCCUGGAAGUGGACACCAGUUACAGCCGAACCUCAGGUGCACCGCGAGUCAUUUGUUUCUUUCUUUCUAAAGAAAAAUUAGCUUUACUUUCGCAGAGCCUAAUUCAGCUAAAUGUUCAGUUCAGUGAUCUUUAUUUAUUUGUAUUUUCUUCUGAACGGUCCUUGAACUCAUUUUUUAAAAGAAAGACGUGUUGACUCGUUUUAUCUGAAAGGCAGAGAGACGGGGAGAGGCCGGCAGACCCCCACUCACUGCCGGUGUGCCCCCAGGUGAUGCGACAGCCGGGCUCACGCUAAGGGCCAGGGAUGCGGCUGGGGCCUCUCCGACCCGCUCAGGCCACCGUCGGCUGCCGUCCCAAGGUGCGUGGGCAUCCAGGACUUCCAACGCGGGACGCUCGGGUCCCAGGCGGCAGCCCCCGCCUCCCCAAUCCCGCGGGUGGAUUCGACAUUGUUCCCCAAGCCCGCCAGCCAUAGCACUAACUCCGGGGCAUUCCCGUCCCUGGAAAACAUCGGGUCCCCACGCACGCUCGCUCUCCGCCUCCGCCCGGACUUCCUUCCCUCUGCGCGCACCUCCCGCCUGCGUCGGGGCGUCUGGGUGUCCACAGGAGCUGCUGCCAGGCCCCCCGGGGUCCCGUCUACGCAGCCGGGUGCUGUCCAGACCCUAGACACGCUGGGCAGAUGGACUGUCUGAGCAGCUGAGACAUUGUAUCGUUUAGGGAAGGGGGAGAGAACCACACAGACGCGGCUGCCAUUCUGGGUCUUUCCUCUCCAGGUGGGUGGAACCGAGAAGGUGGGUGGCUGUGAAGGUGUGGCCGGGCGACGUGCGGCGCGGCACCUGCCGGCACCAAGGGCUGCUGGUGGCCUCCCCCUCCACCGUCCACUUCCGGGGCGCGCCGGCUGCCUGCGGGCCCUCUUCCUCCCGGCGCCCCUCGCAGAGGCUGUGCAGCUCUGCGUGCCCUGGGGGAGGGGCCCGGCUGCUCCCCAAAACCCUGCCCCAGAGGGAGCUGAGGGCUCUGGUGGGCAGCCCUGGGGGUGCCGCCUACUGCCGCCUCUCGGGGUCUGUAGCGCGCGACGCCGGAGCAGAA